RNAcentral lists this ribosomal RNA (846 nucleotides) under Microbacterium sp. RNAcentral describes it as "bacterial SSU rRNA". It matches the Rfam family "Bacterial small subunit ribosomal RNA", at positions 8 to 863 of the family's 1533-position model. Lineage: Bacteria; Bacillati; Actinomycetota; Actinomycetes; Micrococcales; Microbacteriaceae. The record is from RNAcentral.
AGAGUUUGAUCAUGGCUCAGGAUGAACGCUGGCGGCGUGCUUAACACAUGCAAGUCGAACGGUGAACACGGAGCUUGCUCUGUGGGAUCAGUGGCGAACGGGUGAGUAACACGUGAGCAACCUGCCCCUGACUCUGGGAUAAGCGCUGGAAACGGCGUCUAAUACUGGAUAUGUGACGUGACCGCAUGGUCUGCGUCUGGAAAGAAUUUCGGUUGGGGAUGGGCUCGCGGCCUAUCAGCUUGUUGGUGAGGUAAUGGCUCACCAAGGCGUCGACGGGUAGCCGGCCUGAGAGGGUGACCGGCCACACUGGGACUGAGACACGGCCCAGACUCCUACGGGAGGCAGCAGUGGGGAAUAUUGCACAAUGGGCGCAAGCCUGAUGCAGCAACGCCGCGUGAGGGACGACGGCCUUCGGGUUGUAAACCUCUUUUAGCAGGGAAGAAGCGAAAGUGACGGUACCUGCAGAAAAAGCGCCGGCUAACUACGUGCCAGCAGCCGCGGUAAUACGUAGGGCGCAAGCGUUAUCCGGAAUUAUUGGGCGUAAAGAGCUCGUAGGCGGUUUGUCGCGUCUGCUGUGAAAUCCGGAGGCUCAACCUCCGGCCUGCAGUGGGUACGGGCAGACUAGAGUGCGGUAGGGGAGAUUGGAAUUCCUGGUGUAGCGGUGGAAUGCGCAGAUAUCAGGAGGAACACCGAUGGCGAAGGCAGAUCUCUGGGCCGUAACUGACGCUGAGGAGCGAAAGGGUGGGGAGCAAACAGGCUUAGAUACCCUGGUAGUCCACCCCGUAAACGUUGGGAACUAGUUGUGGGGUCCAUUCCACGGAUUCCGUGACGCAGCUAACGCAUUAA